This 119-nucleotide ribosomal RNA is filed under the name Pogona vitticeps (central bearded dragon). Lineage: Eukaryota; Metazoa; Chordata; Lepidosauria; Squamata; Agamidae. The record is from RNAcentral.
UGAGAUAUACACACCACUGCAACACACCAGAUCUCAUCUGACUUUGGAAGCUAAGCAGAAUCAGACCUGGUUAGUAUUCAGAUGGGAGACCACCAAGGGAAUAUUCGAGGUCACCCCAC